Gallus gallus (chicken) is the source of this 1058-nucleotide long non-coding RNA. Lineage: Eukaryota; Metazoa; Chordata; Aves; Galliformes; Phasianidae. The record is from Ensembl.
GGAUGUUUUGUUUUUCUAGCUGCCUUCUUGUUGCUGCCCCAAAGGUUUGUGGUGAAGGACACACGUUCACGUCUCCUGUUGUACCUGCUUGUGCCACAAGUGUUUGACAGCACUGUUCCCAUCUCCAAAGGAGCUCUUUGUUGUCUGUGUAAUCUCUGCCUGGAUUAAGUGGCAAAAGGCGAAUCCUCAGCUUAUGGGAAGAGCACACUUGACCUCUGCCUCCUUAGAGUUGCACUCUCCCUGGGGAGGAAGUGUUGGCUCAGCCCUGAACAAAGCGCUGGCUGUGAUGAGUGAGACUUUCUUGUCCUAGCAGUGUGGGGUUGAGCUGGGGGUCAGAUCUGUGCUGCAGUGAGAAGGAAGAGACAGAAGACCCGGUGACCUGGAAGCUUAGAGGUAGCCAGCUCAACUUACUGAGAAAUGUGAAGCUGCAUGAACCCCUCCAUCAGCAGAAACGCGCUGUCUGGGCAGGUGGUCCCACUGGCACAUCCAGAUAUGAAUUUUCUUGGCAAGAUGCAAAUGAGAUUCCUUUCCUGUUUUCCAACCCAUUCUCCUCUGCUGUGUCUUGCAGUACUUCUCAUCCUGAAAUGUGUUGCAUUCUUUGCAGGUUCUCCAAGUCCCAUGGAAGACAUCACUGGUAGUAAACCGUGCCCUUGUAUGGGCUUAAGACAAUGCUACGUGUGCUCAAUGAUACCUGUGCAGACCUCAGCCGUGGGGGAAGUGAAGUGGCCUCCCCUUCAGGGAGGGGCAGUCCAGGAGAAGGGAGCAGAGCAGUGAGCACUGCAGGAUGAGAGCACUGCCUUACCUGCAGGUGGACCAGCAGAUGGAAGGUGAGUGCAGACUACAGACUCUGCCAGCUGCCAGCCAAGCUGCUGCUGGGUGCCAGUCAGGGAAAGAGUGGUUUUUGGGAGUACAUCUGUAUCUAGUGUCACUUGCUUUACCGCUGGGAGAAGGUUUGCUCAUCAGCUGCUGUGAGCUCAGACCUGGGGCACCCAAUGGUCUUUUGGGAAGCAACAGCUAUCGCGCAACCCAAGCAGACCUCCUGCUCUGGCAGCUUACGU